This 294-nucleotide unclassified non-coding RNA is filed under the name uncultured Lysobacteraceae bacterium. RNAcentral describes it as "uncultured Xanthomonadaceae bacterium contains 16S-23S intergenic spacer region". The record is from RNAcentral. Lineage: Bacteria; Pseudomonadati; Pseudomonadota; Gammaproteobacteria; Lysobacterales; Lysobacteraceae.
AAGGACUACUAGGGUUUCUAAUCCUGUUUGCUCCCCACGCUUUCGUGCCUCAGUGUCAGUACUGGUCCAGGUGGCCGCCUUCGCCACGGAUGUUCCUCCUGAUCUCUACGCAUUUCACUGCUACACCAGGAAUUCCGCCACCCUCUACCGUACUCUAGCCCGCCAGUAUCCAAUGCAAUUCCCAGGUUGAGCCCGGGGCUUUCACAUCAGACUUAACGAACCACCUACGCACGCUUUACGCCCAGUAAUUCCGAUUAACGCUCGCACCCUCCGUAUUACCGCGGCUGCUGGCAC